AUCCUCAGGUUCAUAAGCAUGAUGAUUGGGUGUUCAUGCUCCAUGCAUGACGUAUGCCUCCUUUGAACCUGUUACAACAUCGGCACAUUAUCCAUCUGACG
RNAcentral lists this small nucleolar RNA (101 nucleotides) under Cavia porcellus (domestic guinea pig). Its description in RNAcentral is "Small nucleolar RNA U13". It matches the Rfam family "Small nucleolar RNA U13". The record is from Rfam by way of RNAcentral. Lineage: Eukaryota; Metazoa; Chordata; Mammalia; Rodentia; Caviidae.